Molecule: long non-coding RNA, 1048 nt
Organism: Carassius carassius (crucian carp)
Lineage: Eukaryota; Metazoa; Chordata; Actinopteri; Cypriniformes; Cyprinidae
Exons: 3
Source: RefSeq, a predicted model, not a curated record
AAAGGGUCCCAGUACUGGAAACAAAAUGCAAGAAAUAUUCUUGCUAUACAAGAACAGGCCUUCCAGGAGGUACAGGGCUCUAAAAGGAGGAGAAUGAGCCGAAAAGAUGAAGAUGCUGCUGGAAUUGGAGAGGUCACUGAGAAGAUAGAAGAGCUUGUACUGGCAUCACAGACCUUACCAGAUAUCACUGCAGCAAUCAGAGAGCUCACCAAUCUAGCUGCCACUCAAAGAGUGAUCCUGACUCCUUCCCAGCUACAGACCAUCAAGCAAGGAUUCUGCUGUGCUAUUUGAAUGAAAUUCAUCGAGGAGCCAGUCUUCACAGAGUGUUGCCGGAGCAUUAUUGGCUGCAAAACAUGUGUGGUACAGUGGCAGGAGACCUCUGUGCACUGUGCAAAAUGUAGAGGGAACACUGCAAACAACACCAUAUUUGAAAUUAAUGGUCUGUCAGAGACAUUUUCUGUCCUGAGAUCCCUUUUUGAAGAGGAGUAACAUGUUGAAUUUUUACACAAACAAAUGUAAAGUUAACAGUCUUCAAGUUAAAUAGAGCUAAUGGCUUUUCACACAUUGCGCUGAGUUGUGGUUAUAAGACAGAGCAAUGCCUGUUUGUAUGGGGCAAAGUCAUUGUUCACUGCUCUAGAGUACAAUUCUGGAAUGUCUGAAUAAUGCUCUGCAAACUGGUUCUCAACUGUAAUCUUGUCCUGUUCAGUUGAAAAUGGAUCAACUCCAAAAGUUGAAUGCCUGGUCAGUGAUGAUCCCAGCUGUUGGCUGUAAAGGUCUGCUGCUUCAGCUGAAUGAGGCAACAGCUCCUGUUGGAUUUUUUUGGGACACCCACGGCCAGCCAAGUCAUUUGGUGUUCCUUUACCUGUAAAAUAAAGUACAUACUGUUGGUAUUGAAACUUAUGAAUGCCUCUUGUAAUAAUUGUAAUCUUCGAAACAUGGUUUUAUUUCACCUGGAAUUCUAUGAGCAUUCCAUGACUCCGCCAGCCUUGUAAGACCAAUCUCACACAAGCGGCCAGUAAGGUUGGACACACAAUAUCUCACAAGGCUG